UGGCAAGUCUUACACGGACAGCUCCUAAUAAAUCCCCCAGGGUCGGAAGGCAGCAAGGGUAGUUGGUCGUAGCGUCGCGAUGUAAGUAACUUGCCUUUU
Molecule: signal recognition particle RNA, 99 nt
Filed under: Saprospiraceae bacterium
Lineage: Bacteria; Pseudomonadati; Bacteroidota; Saprospiria; Saprospirales; Saprospiraceae
Description: signal recognition particle sRNA small type
Rfam family: Bacteroidales small SRP
About the family: The non-coding component of the signal recognition particle in Bacteroides
Source: RNAcentral